UACGGAGGGGGCUAGCGUUGUUCGGAAUUACUGGGCGUAAAGCGCGCGUAGGCGGCUUUGUAAGUUAGAGGUGAAAGCCCAGGGCUCAACCCUGGAAUUGCCUUUAAGACUGCAUCGCUUGAACAUCGGAGAGGUAAGUGGAAUUCCGAGUGUAGAGGUGAAAUUCGUAGAUAUCAGGAGGAACACCUGCGGUGUAGACGGCUUACUGGACCAUAACUGACGCUGAGGCGCGAAAGCUAGGGGAGCAAACAGG
This 253-nucleotide ribosomal RNA is filed under the name uncultured bacterium. RNAcentral describes it as "partial 16S ribosomal RNA". It matches the Rfam family "Bacterial small subunit ribosomal RNA", at positions 524 to 776 of the family's 1533-position model. The record is from RNAcentral.